CUUCACGACCCAACACCGAGGCCUGAGUACGCCUGAUCUCGUCUGAUCUCGGAAGCUAAGCAGGGUCGGGCCUGGUUAGUACUUGGAUGGGAGACCGCCUGGGAAUACCAGGUGCUGUAAGCU
RNAcentral lists this ribosomal RNA (123 nucleotides) under Oncorhynchus kisutch (coho salmon). Lineage: Eukaryota; Metazoa; Chordata; Actinopteri; Salmoniformes; Salmonidae. The record is from RNAcentral.